CCCUGAUGCUCCUUGAUCUCCACAGGCCGUCGGACCUAUUUUAUAGCCACAAAAUCUAGUCCAAAUCGAAGUCCUACCUUCAACAAGAGUCAGCAACUCUUUUCAACCAUUGGAUCUUCACCGCUCACAUUCGUAGCCCUUAGAUCAUGCAAAAUAGCGCUCCUGGCUGCCCAAUCAUGCCCAUGCAAGCCUCCCAGCCAUCGGAUCACAUCC
Molecule: long non-coding RNA, 213 nt
Filed under: Elaeis guineensis (African oil palm)
Lineage: Eukaryota; Viridiplantae; Streptophyta; Magnoliopsida; Arecales; Arecaceae
Description: long non-coding RNA (EGUI_LNC056916)
Source: RNAcentral